GAUGAACGCUGGCGGCGUGCCUAAUACAUGCAAGUCGAGCGAACAGACGAGGAGCUUGCUCCUCUGAUGUUAGCGGCGGACGGGUGAGUAACACGUGGAUAACCUACCUAUAAGACUGGGAUAACUUCGGGAAACCGGAGCUAAUACCGGAUAAUAUUUUGAACCGCAUGGUUCAAUAGUGAAAGACGGUCUUGCUGUCACUUAUAGAUGGAUCCGCGCUGCAUUAGCUAGUUGGUAAGGUAACGGCUUACCAAGGCAACGAUGCGUAGCCGACCUGAGAGGGUGAUCGGCCACACUGGAACUGAGACACGGUCCAGACUCCUACGGGAGGCAGCAGUAGGGAAUCUUCCGCAAUGGGCGAAAGCCUGACGGAGCAACGCCGCGUGAGUGAUGAAGGUCUUCGGAUCGUAAAACUCUGUUAUUAGGGAAGAACAAAUGUGUAAGUAACUGUGCACAUCUUGACGGUACCUAAUCAGAAAGCCACGGCUAACUACGUG
Molecule: ribosomal RNA, 497 nt
Filed under: uncultured bacterium
Lineage: Bacteria
Description: partial 16S ribosomal RNA
Rfam family: Bacterial small subunit ribosomal RNA
Source: RNAcentral